UAAAAAAAAAUUAGAGUAAUUGUUAACUUAUUUUGAAAUAAUUACAUAUUUAAAGUAUGCUUUGCUUGUAGGUUUUAAAAAGCCUUUAUAGAUACAGGGUAUUCUUAAAUAUGUAGACCAUCUUUACGAUACGAAGAAGUUAGUUUUCACGUUGUCAAAAUAUUGAUUUUUCCAAAAAUAAGCUUGACCUAAAUCCCUUAGUCUCCAGCAUUUGUAAGAAAGUAGUUUAAAUUUCAUACUAAGGUACUUUACACGAUUUUAAAUCUUGGUAAUUGUGUUAAUAUGAGGGCAACUGGUGAACUCUUUUAAUGCUGGCUGACUGACUUUUCCUCUCGUCUUCCUACGCUGCCAGACAUACCAUGCAAUGCCUGCCUCGGCCCCAGCUUGCUGGCACGGAGGGGUUCGAGAACACUUGCAAUAUCACUUCCCGUCGGCCACCUCGCGCUCGGUGCGAGUGUAUAUACGUUUUAAAAAUACAAUACUGGAAAAGGCAGGAACUGUACCAACAAAUGGGGUAUUUUUAGGGGGGAGGGGGUUCAGUUCAACUUAAAUAUAGUAUUUUGCCAGUAAUUUUGUGCUAAAUUAAUGCUGUACUGUAUAAUAGGUAAAUGAUUAAAUUUGAACAGUAACUAUUGUGUACCGAUCAUAGUUAAUGUUAGUGAUCAAAUAUUACAGGUUAUACCUACUAAUUGUGCUGUGAGGGUUGUUCUCUGAAUUGUUGUUAUACAAGUUGAUUUGUUCUGAUAUAAGUGGAUAUUUGGACUUGAUAUAAGUAUAAUUGGUCUAUAAAGGUUGACGGUUUAAUGACUUAUUUCAGAUUUGAGUGGGAGGUGGAUGACCUUUGUAGGGUAUUUGACCUUGGCUGAAGCCUUUAUAUACAAUAUACAGAAGUGUGUGGGAGGUGGAAGAGCAUUCUUGGCUAUUUGACAUUGGCUGAAGUCUUAUAAAGUGUAGAAGAAGAAGGAGGGGGGUCCACGACGUUGUUGCUGUCACUUACUCGAAUCAGUUAUCUCUGGGACUCGCUAAGACUAGUUGUCAAAUUUUUCUACUUCGGCCGUGGAAAGUGUAUCAGUUUUCCCCCGUCUCUGAAAACCUGAGGGGGGAAAUUCACCCUGGUUGAGAACCCCUGCUUUAUAGUUUACAAAGCCAUCUGAGUUACUUUCUGAAAUUCUGAUUGAUAGUUUUCAAAAUGAUUAGUUUUUGCAAAGUGUCUUACGACAGUGGUAGAAAAUAUAACAAAUUAUGGGAAGAAAAAUUCGUCUGUGUUAGUAUAGCCCGUGAUGGAAGUGAAAAUGCUCCAGUUCCAAGGAAAAUGUUGCAGAUUUGAAAGUAACACCACACAUGGUGGAGCUAUUUAACUCUGCAAUCACGUACGAGAAGGAAGAACCAGGGGACGGUGACGAACUGGACUCCACCAUUAUCAUGCUCCACCACCAUUUGAGUUUAUGAUUUGGCAGUGAAGCUUGUCGUACAUGUGGCAACCCUGUUCCUAUGCGAUUUGAGUGGGAGGUGGAUGACCUUUGUAGGGUAUUUGACCUUGGCUGAAGCCUUUAUAUACAAUAUACAGAAGUGUGUGGGAGGUGGAAGAGCAUUCUUGGCUAUUUGACAUUGGCUGAAGUCUUAUAAAGUGUAGAAGAAGAAGGAGGGGGGUCCACGACGUUGUUGCUGUCACUUACUCGAAUCAGUUAUCUCUGGGACUCGCUAAGACUAGUUGUCAAAUUUUUCUACUUCGGCCGUGGAAAGUGUAUCAGUUUUCCCCCGUCUCUGAAAACCUGAGGGGGGAAAUUCACCCUGGUUGAGAACCCCUGCUUUAUAGUUUACAAAGCCAUCUGAGUUACUUUCUGAAAUUCUGAUUGAUAGUUUUCAAAAUGAUUAGUUUUUGCAAAGUGUCUUACGACAGUGGUAGAAAAUAUAACAAAUUAUGGGAAGAAAAAUUCGUCUGUGUUAGUAUAGCCCGUGAUGGAAGUGAAAAUGCUCCAGUUCCAAGGAAAAUGUUGCAGAUUUGAAAGUAACACCACACAUGGUGGAGCUAUUUAACUCUGCAAUCACGUACGAGAAGGAAGAACCAGGGGACGGUGACGAACUGGACUCCACCAUUAUCAUGCUCCACCACCAUUUGAGUUUAUGGUUAAUCUUCACUGUAGAUUACAGAUAUUAUGUUUAUGUAAUUAUUGGGCUCUGAAUUAUAAGUGAAAAUUUUGUUUGA
RNAcentral lists this long non-coding RNA (2206 nucleotides) under Homarus americanus (American lobster). RNAcentral's name for it is "uncharacterized LOC121873613, transcript variant X6". Lineage: Eukaryota; Metazoa; Arthropoda; Malacostraca; Decapoda; Nephropidae. The record is from RNAcentral.